RNAcentral lists this ribosomal RNA (413 nucleotides) under uncultured bacterium. RNAcentral's name for it is "partial 16S ribosomal RNA". It matches the Rfam family "Bacterial small subunit ribosomal RNA", at positions 360 to 774 of the family's 1533-position model. The record is from RNAcentral.
AAUAUUGCGCAAUGGAGGGAACUCUGACGCAGCGACGCCGCGUGAGCGAUGAAGGUCNNNGGAUCNUCAAGCUCUGUCCUUGGNGACNAAGGGAGCCGUAAGGCUUCUUGACGGUACCCAUGGAGGAAGCCCCGGCUAACUACGUGCCAGCAGCCGCGGUAAUACGUAGGGGGCAAGCGUUGUCCGGAAUUAUUGGGCGUAAAGGGUGCGUAGGCGGCCCUUUAAGUCAGAUGUGAAAGCCCACGGCUUAACCGUGGGACUGCAUUUGAAACUGGAGGGCUUGAGUGUCGGAGAGGGCAGUGGAAUUCCCAGUGUAGCGGUGGAAUGCGUAGAUAUUGGGAGGAACACCAGUGGCGAAGGCGACUGCCUGGACGAUAACUGACGCUGAGGCACGAAAGCUAGGGGAGCAAACA